UAGUUCAUCAAGUGCAACUACGAGGAAUGGACUUGAUUUGCAAAUAAAGAUGUGACUAACUUGACGUUGACUUGUGUUAUUUAACUUGCCUUGAUACCUUUGUCCAUCGAUUUGUCAAAUGAAGAUAAAGAAAAAAAAAAAACAAGCAAAAAGACAUAAUUAAUAUAAUCGUAAUAUUCGGAGCAAAGGAGUACAUAUAAAUGCAGUUUAACAAUCAUUGCAAAAUUUAUUUAACGCCACUCUCCAAAGUACACGAUAUAUGCGGUUUGCCCGCGAUAUGUAUUGCUAAUUUAUAAUAAAAUCUGUAGUUAUUACUAAUAACUUAUCUCAGUGCAGUCAUAUUUUCGUUAUAAAAAAAUUGAGUCGGUUUGUGCAACGCGCGCACUUGCUCCUAAUGAAGUAUAAAAUAACUACAGACUGACGUGUAAAAGCGAUCGAGUAAAAUACUUUAUAAAAUAUAAACAAGAAUCGGUACGUCUCUCUCUUUUUCAAUGUCUCGGCUCCUCCGACUUUCGCAAUACUUCUUCAAGAAUCGUU
Dinoponera quadriceps is the source of this 537-nucleotide long non-coding RNA. RefSeq lists it as uncharacterized. The transcript has 2 exons. NCBI's taxonomy places the organism in Eukaryota, Metazoa, Arthropoda, Insecta, Hymenoptera, Formicidae. The record is from RefSeq and is a predicted model, not a curated record.